RNAcentral lists this ribosomal RNA (493 nucleotides) under uncultured bacterium. Its description in RNAcentral is "partial 16S ribosomal RNA". It matches the Rfam family "Bacterial small subunit ribosomal RNA", at positions 899 to 1397 of the family's 1533-position model. The record is from RNAcentral.
ACUCAAAUGAAUUGACGGGGACUCGCACAAGCGGUGGAGCAUGUGGUUUAAUUCGUCGACAAGCGAGGAACCUUACCUGGGUUCGAAGUGUAUGGAUGUACGCGAGCAGAGACGUUCGCGGACCGUUUAAUCGGAGCCAUAUAUAGGUGCUGCACGGUCGUCGUCAGCUCGUGCUGUGAAGUGUUCGGUUCAGUCCGGUAACGAGCGCAACCCCUACCCCAUGUUGUAUUUUUCAUGGGGGACUGCCUCGGUUAACGGGGAGGAAGGUGGGGAUGACGUCAGAUCAGCGUGGCCCUUAUGUCCAGGGCUACACACGUGCUACAAUGGCUGCUACAAAGGGUCGCCAAGCCGCAAGGCGGAGCUAAUCCCAUCAAAAGCAGUCUCAGUUCGGAUUGCGGGCUGCAACCCGCCCGCAUGAAGCCGGAAUCGCUAGUAACUGUGGAUCAGCCAUGCCACAGUGAAUACGUUCUCGAGUCUUGUACACACCGCCCGU